UACAUGGGGUGCAAACGUUGCUCGGAAUUAUUGGGCGUAAAGCGCACGUAGGCGGUUUGUUAAGUCGGAUGUGAAAUCCCUCGGCUCAACUGAGGAAGUGCAUCCGAAACUGGCAGGCUUGAGUACUAAAGAGGGUCGCGGAAUUCCCGGUGUAGAGGUGAAAUUCGUAGAUAUCGGGAGGAACACCGGUGGCGAAGGCGGCGACCUGGG
This 210-nucleotide ribosomal RNA is filed under the name uncultured bacterium. RNAcentral describes it as "partial 16S ribosomal RNA". It matches the Rfam family "Bacterial small subunit ribosomal RNA", at positions 524 to 733 of the family's 1533-position model. The record is from RNAcentral.